Molecule: ribosomal RNA, 485 nt
Filed under: Salmonella enterica
Lineage: Bacteria; Pseudomonadati; Pseudomonadota; Gammaproteobacteria; Enterobacterales; Enterobacteriaceae
Also listed under: 1 other name
Description: bacterial SSU rRNA
Rfam family: Bacterial small subunit ribosomal RNA
Source: RNAcentral
GCUGUCGUCAGCUCGUGUUGUGAAAUGUUGGGUUAAGUCCCGCAACGAGCGCAACCCUUAUCCUUUGUUGCCAGCGGUCCGGCCGGGAACUCAAAGGAGACUGCCAGUGAUAAACUGGAGGAAGGUGGGGAUGACGUCAAGUCAUCAUGGCCCUUACGACCAGGGCUACACACGUGCUACAAUGGCGCAUACAAAGAGAAGCGACCUCGCGAGAGCAAGCGGACCUCAUAAAGUGCGUCGUAGUCCGGACUGGAGUCUGCAACUCGACUCCAUGAAGUCGGAAUCGCUAGUAAUCGUGGAUCAGAAUGCCACGGUGAAUACGUUCCCGGGCCUUGUACACACCGCCCGUCACACCAUGGGAGUGGGUUGCAAAAGAAGUAGGUAGCUUAACCUUCGGGAGGGCGCUUACCACUUUGUGAUUCAUGACUGGGGUGAAGUCGUAACAAGGUAACCGUAGGGGAACCUGCGGUUGGAUCACCUCCUUA